CGGCGUGCCUAAUACAUGCAAGUCGAACGAACUCUGGUAUUGAUUGGUGCUUGCAUCAUGAUUUACAUUUGAGUGAGUGGCGAACUGGUGAGUAACACGUGGGAAACCUGCCCAGAAGCGGGGGAUAACACCUGGAAACAGAUGCUAAUACCGCAUAACAACUUGGACCGCAUGGUCCGAGCUUGAAAGAUGGCUUCGGCUAUCACUUUUGGAUGGUCCCGCGGCGUAUUAGCUAGAUGGUGGGGUAACGGCUCACCAUGGCAAUGAUACGUAGCCGACCUGAGAGGGUAAUCGGCCACAUUGGGACUGAGACACGGCCCAAACUCCUACGGGAGGCAGCAGUAGGGAAUCUUCCACAAUGGACGAAAGUCUGAUGGAGCAACGCCGCGUGAGUGAAGAAGGGUUUCGGCUCGUAAAACUCUGUUGUUAAAGAAGAACAUAUCUGAGAGUAACUGUUCAGGUAUUGACGGUAUUUAACCAGAAAGCCACGGCUAACUACGUGCCAGCAGCCGCGGUAAUACGUAGGUGGCAAGCGUUGUCCGGAUUUAUUGGGCGUAAAGCGAGCGCAGGCGGUUUUUUAAGUCUGAUGUGAAAGCCUUCGGCUCAACCGAAGAAGUGCAUCGGAAACUGGGAAACUUGAGUGCAGAAGAGGACAGUGGAACUCCAUGUGUAGCGGUGAAAUGCGUAGAUAUAUGGAAGAACACCAGUGGCGAAGGCGGCUGUCUGGUCUGUAACUGACGCUGAGGCUCGAAAGUAUGGGUAGCAAACAGGAUUAGAUACCCUGGGUAGUCCAUACCGUAAACGAUGAAUGCUAAGUGUUGGAGGGUUUCCGCCCUUCAGUGCUGCAGCUAACGCAUUAAGCAUUCCGCCUGGGGAGUACGGCCGCAAGGCUGAAACUCAAAGGAAUUGACGGGGGCCCGCACAAGCGGUGGAGCAUGUGGUUUAAUUCGAAGCUACGCGAAGAACCUUACCAGGUCUUGACAUACUAUGCAAAUCUAAGAGAUUAGACGUUCCCUUCGGGGACAUGGAUACAGGUGGUGCAUGGUUGUCGUCAGCUCGUGUCGUGAGAUGUUGGGUUAAGUCCCGCAACGAGCGCAACCCUUAUUAUCAGUUGCCAGCAUUAAGUUGGGCACUCUGGUGAGACUGCCGGUGACAAACCGGAGGAAGGUGGGGAUGACGUCAAAUCAUCAUGCCCCUUAUGACCUGGGCUACACACGUGCUACAAUGGAUGGUACAACGAGUUGCGAACUCGCGAGAGUAAGCUAAUCUCUUAAAGCCAUUCUCAGUUCGGAUUGUAGGCUGCAACUCGCCUACAUGAAGUCGGAAUCGCUAGUAAUCGCGGAUCAGCAUGCCGCGGUGAAUACGUUCCCGGGCCUUGUACACACCGCCCGUCACACCAUGAGAGUUUGUAACACCCAAAGUCGGUGGGGUAACCUUUUAGGAACCAGCCGCCUAAGGUGGGACCUAGAUGAUUAGGGUGAAGUCGUAACA
RNAcentral lists this ribosomal RNA (1491 nucleotides) under Lactiplantibacillus plantarum. RNAcentral's name for it is "Lactobacillus plantarum 16S ribosomal RNA". It matches the Rfam family "Bacterial small subunit ribosomal RNA". Lineage: Bacteria; Bacillati; Bacillota; Bacilli; Lactobacillales; Lactobacillaceae. The record is from RNAcentral.